This 611-nucleotide small RNA is filed under the name Vigna angularis var. angularis. RNAcentral's name for it is "Non-protein coding transcript". Lineage: Eukaryota; Viridiplantae; Streptophyta; Magnoliopsida; Fabales; Fabaceae. The record is from RNAcentral.
CUGAAAAGCUAGAACAAGCAGAAAAUCAGUUGGUCCAUUUCUACCAAAAGAUCAAGGGCAUAUAAUGGCGGAAGGUUUAAAAAUCUCGUAGAGAAGAAAAUUGAUGCCAAGUUUGCUGCUGGCCUCCUAGCAUCCAAGGAAGCACAAGAGGAGAUUUUAAACUGAGAGGCUAAUCCCAAUGAAGUUCGAGGGAAGUUGCAGUUCAUCGAAUGUCUUUCUAGUAUGAAUUGGGCAACACGUAAAGCAAUAGCUGAGGCAUUAAGUUCAUUGGCAUUGCAUUCAGUUUGGUUGCUGAUAAAUCAGUACCUACACUAGCAGUACUUGAGGCUUGCCGAUUUGACAAGGUAGCAUUUGUAGUGAGAUUUCCUAAUUAUAACUUGUUAUCAGUUAUUGUAAUUCUUAUUUUAUUUAAAUAUUGUGUUUCUAAGAAGGAAUUAAUUCAACAAGGAGUAUGUUUCGUAAGUCCAAUAACUUAGUUACUAACUUAUUUAUAUGUAGUGAUCUAGUUGACUGGUUAGGCGUUAAGGAAAUUGGACUCUUCAAUUUCAAGCCAAGUGUGAGGCCUGUACCUUUGGAAGUUCAUAUUCAGGUACGUGGAUUUGGUGUUUCGG